UACGUAGGUGGCAAGCGUUGUCCGGAUUUACUGGGCGUAAAGAGCGCGCAGGCGGUCGUUCAAGUCGCGUGUGAAAGCCCCCGGCUCAACUGGGGAGGGUCACGCGAUACUGAUCGACUCGAAGGCAGGAGAGGGUAGUGGAAUUCCCGGUGUAGUGGUGAAAUGCGUAGAUAUCGGGAGGAACACCAGUGGCGAAGGCGACUACCUGGCCUGUUUCUUGA
This 221-nucleotide ribosomal RNA is filed under the name uncultured bacterium. RNAcentral's name for it is "partial 16S ribosomal RNA". It matches the Rfam family "Bacterial small subunit ribosomal RNA", at positions 524 to 743 of the family's 1533-position model. The record is from RNAcentral.